UACCGGCAGCUCAAGUGGUAGCCGCGAUUAUUGGGCCUAAAGCGUUCGUAGCCGGAUAAGUAAGUCUUUGGUUAAAUCCUGCAACUCAACUGUGGGAAAUCUAGGGAUACUGCUUGUCUUGAGACCGGGAGAGGUUAGAGGUACUCCUAGGGUAGGGGUGAAAUCCUGUAAUCCUAGGGGGACCACCUGUGGCGAAGGCGUCUAACUGGAACGGGUCUGACGGUGAGGGACGAAACCUAGGGGAGCGAGC
This 250-nucleotide ribosomal RNA is filed under the name uncultured archaeon. Its description in RNAcentral is "partial 16S ribosomal RNA". It matches the Rfam family "Archaeal small subunit ribosomal RNA", at positions 474 to 724 of the family's 1478-position model. The record is from RNAcentral.